Sardina pilchardus (European sardine) is the source of this 725-nucleotide long non-coding RNA. RefSeq lists it as uncharacterized. The record is from RefSeq and is a predicted model, not a curated record. The transcript is spliced from 4 exons. NCBI's taxonomy places the organism in Eukaryota, Metazoa, Chordata, Actinopteri, Clupeiformes, Clupeidae.
CCUGACAAAGUAGUCACAGGGUGGGGACCGCUCGAAUGGUGGGGACUUACACUUGGUCCCCAUUAUGUUUUUCCUUUAGAUGAGCCUAGAACAACAUUGCCAACUGCCUGGAUACAAAAUUUAGGUUGGCCCAUAUGUCAUGAAAUUUUGAAAAUGUGUGUUUUGUGUGUGUUUUGGGGGUGCUCAGCACCGCCUACCCAUGAUCGUGCACUGUAACUGCAUGUCUCUCACACACACACACACAUGUGGACAUCUACCAAUCAGAUUCGAGAAAUCAGAAUAUGCAAAUGAGUAGAUCGCAUCAUCGAGAAAGACCGCCAGAAAACCAAAAUCAGAAGAAGAGGAAGCAGCCAUUUUGGGAACAGCAAUAUUUUUCUACCGUAUUUUCACUAUUUUAUGGAACAUCAUCCAACUUCACAGAUACAAAAUGUAGGACAACCAUGCCAGCAACAACAAAAGAUUAACAUGCUACGACGAAGACGAAAUCCCUUGCACGAAGCGCGUGACCAUGCAUGUAAUUGCAGAGACACUGAAAUGCUGGAGGCGAAGUUCAUUAGCCCUCAAAAAGGCCGUGGUGUCUUUACCUUAGCACCAUUCCAGCAGGGUGAUUUUGUGGUUGAAUACAGAGGAGUAAUCAUUGAUGCAGCAGAAGCUCAUUAUAGGAGGAAAAUCUACCAUAAACAUUGGUGUGUCUUUUUGUUUGACUUUAAAUGGAAAGGCAAAUG